AUUGAACGCUGGCGGCAGGCCUAACACAUGCAAGUCGAACGGUAGCAGGAAGAAGCUUGCUUCUUUGCUGACGAGUGGCGGACGGGUGAGUAAUGUCUGGGAAACUGCCUGAUGGAGGGGGAUAACUACUGGAAACGGUAGCUAAUACCGCAUAACGUCGCAAGACCAAAGAGGGGGACCUUCGGGCCUCUUGCCAUCGGAUGUGCCCAGAUGGGAUUAGCUAGUUGGUGGGGUAACGGCUCACCAAGGCGACGAUCCCUAGCUGGUCUGGAAGGAUGACCAGCCACACUGGAACUGAGACACGGUCCAGACUCCUACGGGAGGCAGCAGUGGGGAAUAAUGAACAAUGGGCGCGAGCCUGAUGCAGCCAUGCCGCGUGUAUGAAGAAGGCCUUCGGGUUGUAAAGUACUUUCAGCGGGGAGGAAGGGAGUAAAGUUAAUACCUUUGCUCAUUGACGUUACCCGCAGAAGAAGCACCGGCUAACUCCGUGCCAGCAGCCGCAGUAA
This 506-nucleotide ribosomal RNA is filed under the name uncultured bacterium. RNAcentral's name for it is "partial 16S ribosomal RNA". It matches the Rfam family "Bacterial small subunit ribosomal RNA", at positions 30 to 523 of the family's 1533-position model. The record is from RNAcentral.